GCCGGCACGUGCACUUUGCACCGCCCAGGGGGGCACGUACAACGCGUCUGUUUGGAUCGUCUCUAUACGGUGUUUCUUGCAAAAAAGCCCCUCAGGAGGGAAGAGACGAGCGACCUCGUCGUCUCGGGAGGCGACGACGUGGGCUCGUGCUCCCAGGCACCAAGCGACGAGGAGGUAGCGUUGUACAGAGUCGUUGUUUCCAAUCGACGAGGUGAGGAUCUGGAUGCGCCGCGAAGGUUGAGAGCCCGGUCGCCAUCCAGCAACGGCAGCUCGCUGCCCUUCAGGUCUGUGUCAGGAUGCUAUCUUCUUUCUGUCACUUUUUUCUGCGUCAGGAUGCCAUCUCGAACAAGGAUAAGCACAUACCAUAGCUCAAUGUAUAGUAUGGCGUCACUCCGAUUAUUCCACACAAUUAUCAACAAAGUAGGAUAGUGUUGUAUCCAUGAACUGUGAAUUCUCUGGAUUUUCAUUUAUGUAUUACCUGAAUGUGAACUCAUAUCUGAAUGUUAAUGUGCAUUCAGUUCAGAAUAUUCAACUGAAUUGGAUGUGGAUUUUACUCAGGUUCUAUGUGUUCUGCAG
This 576-nucleotide long non-coding RNA is filed under the name Sorghum bicolor (sorghum). RNAcentral's name for it is "long non-coding RNA (SBIC_LNC003655)". The record is from RNAcentral. Lineage: Eukaryota; Viridiplantae; Streptophyta; Magnoliopsida; Poales; Poaceae.